Molecule: ribosomal RNA, 454 nt
Filed under: Eimeria alabamensis
Lineage: Eukaryota; Apicomplexa; Conoidasida; Eucoccidiorida; Eimeriidae
Description: SSU rRNA
Rfam family: Eukaryotic small subunit ribosomal RNA
Source: RNAcentral
UGCUAAAUAGGAUCGGGAACCUCGGUUCUCGCAUCACUUCUUAGAGGGACUUUGCGUGUCUAACGCAAGGAAGUUUGAGGCAAUAACAGGUCUGUGAUGCCCUUAGAUGUUCUGGGCUGCACGCGCGCUACACUGAUGCAUGCAACGAGUUUUUGACCUUGGCCGGAAGGUCUAGGUAAUCUUUUGAGUAUGCAUCGUGAUGGGGAUAGAUUAUUGCAAUUAUUAAUCUUCAACGAGGAAUGCCUAGUAGGCGCAAGUCAGCAGCUUGUGCCGAUUACGUCCCCGCCCUUUGUACACACCGCCCGUCGCUGCAACCGAUCGAAGGGUCCUGUGAACUCGAUGGACAGCCCAUCCCCUUCUUGGGGUUGGGCUGGAAGUUGCGUAAAUAGAGCCCUUUAAAGGAUGCAAAAGUCGUAACACGGUUUCCGUAGGUGAACCUGCGGAAGGAUCAUUC